This 628-nucleotide long non-coding RNA is filed under the name Theobroma cacao (cacao). RNAcentral describes it as "long non-coding RNA (TCAC_LNC002254)". The record is from RNAcentral. Lineage: Eukaryota; Viridiplantae; Streptophyta; Magnoliopsida; Malvales; Malvaceae.
AGAAGAACAACAAAGGAACAAAAUAAACAAAUAAAAGAAAAAAAGGACAAAUCAGGAGAGAAUGGAACAGCUCGCACCCUGCCAAGGCAGUUACCUCUCCAGAUGCAAAUUUUUUGCAUCUGGCAAUAGCCCUCCGAUGCUGAGGGUGUCUAUGUGGCUGCAUCCCCAACAUCCAGGGCAGAUAUAUAAUCGCUCCCUUUGCUGAAAAUGGGGGCAGCAUCCCUUAAAAAAAUCCUAGAAAAGCCGUAGCAACUAGAGAGCAAAACCCUAGCCACAGCAAAACCAAAGAAAAAAACCAAGAAAUGCCCUUGGAAAUCUAGCAGCUAGAACCACAAUAAGAAAAAAAAAACAAAAAAAUUAGAAAAUAAAGAGAGUGCCGGAAGAGUCAUAGAAAAAUGAAAAUAGGAAAAGGGGUAGGUUAGUUUUUUUUCUUUCGAUUUUCCUCUUUUCAUUUUGUUUGAAGAGUUUAGGGUUUCAUAAUUGGUUGUUUAGAGGGGGCUAGAUCGGAGGUUGAAAGGGGAGUAGCAAAUAGGGAAAGAGUUUAAGGGCUUGGGUUUCGGUUCUCCGGUCAUCAAUGGAGAAAGAGAGAAGAAGGGUUGCAGUCUUUGAGGGUUUAGAGAAAAGUGGG